RNAcentral lists this ribosomal RNA (253 nucleotides) under uncultured prokaryote. Its description in RNAcentral is "partial 16S ribosomal RNA". It matches the Rfam family "Bacterial small subunit ribosomal RNA", at positions 525 to 777 of the family's 1533-position model. The record is from RNAcentral.
ACAGAGGCCUCAAACGUUGUUCGGAAUUACUGGGCAUAAAGAGCACGUAGGUGGUGCGCUAAGUCACGUGUGAAAUCCCCCGGCUCAACCGGGGAAUGGCGCGUGAUACUGGCGGACUCGAGGCGGGUAGGGGUGAGCGGAACUCCAGGUGGAGCGGUGGAAUGCGUAGAGAUCCGGAGGAAGACCGGUGGCGAAGGCGGCCUGCUGGGCAGUUACUGACACUGAUGCGCGACAGCGUGGGGAGCAAACAGGA